This 466-nucleotide ribosomal RNA is filed under the name uncultured bacterium. RNAcentral describes it as "partial 16S ribosomal RNA". It matches the Rfam family "Bacterial small subunit ribosomal RNA", at positions 28 to 507 of the family's 1533-position model. The record is from RNAcentral.
GAUGAACGCUGGCGGCGUGCUUAACACAUGCAAGUCGAACGAUGAAGCCCAGCUUGCUGGGUGGAUUAGUGGCGAACGGGUGAGUAACACGUGAGUAACCUGCCCUUAACUCUGGGAUAAGCCUGGGAAACUGGGUCUAAUACCGGAUAGGAGCGCCUACCACAUGGUGGGUGUUGGAAAGAUUUAUCGGUUUUGGAUGGACUCGCGGCCUAUCAGCUUGUUGGUGAGGUAAUGGCUCACCAAGGCGACGACGGGUAGCCGGCCUGAGAGGGUGACCGGCCACACUGGGACUGAGACACGGCCCAGACUCCUACGGGAGGCAGCAGUGGUGAAUAUUGCACAAUGGGCGAAAGCCUGAUGCAGCGACGCCGCGUGAGGGAUGACGGCCUUCGGGUUGUAAACCUCUUUCAGUAGGGAAGAAGCGAAAGUGACGGUACCUGCAGAAGAAGCACCGGCUAACUACGUG